Long non-coding RNA from Brachypodium distachyon (stiff brome), 778 nucleotides. RefSeq lists it as uncharacterized. NCBI's taxonomy places the organism in Eukaryota, Viridiplantae, Streptophyta, Magnoliopsida, Poales, Poaceae. The record is from RefSeq and is a predicted model, not a curated record. The transcript has 2 exons.
GGCGGUUUUUGCUGGAGAUGCCCUAACUCGUUGUGCUGGUGGGCAUUGACUCAGGAAAUCGGAAAACAGAGGAGAAGCAGCAGCUGGCCGCCGAACUCAGGAACCCUAGCCGCCGGACCUCACCGCCGCUGCUGGCCCUCCCCGUCUCCCGCACCCCGACAGCCUCCAUUGUCAAAUCAGCACUGCGUUGACCUCCUUCGCGCCGCGUUUGCUUCCUCCCUCGCAAGCAUUGCGGGUCCGGUUCGCCAGAAGCCUCGGCCAAUCACCGCCGACGCCUUUCCAGUGGGAUCGAAAGCGAGUGCUCUAGAAGUUUCAUCUCUUCGCCGGCUUAGCUAUGGAUCGCCGUAAUAUACUCCCUUGGAAAAAAAAGAUAAUCGCAUCAGUCACCAUAUUGGUGUGAAACGAACGUGGCUGGAGAUAAGGCAAAGGCAAGUAGCAGUACUAUUGUUUAUUCUCCAGAUGGCACCCACACCAGCAAAAUUUGGCAUCGAAUACGUUGUGGGAAAAAUACUCAUAUGGCAUCAGUGCCAAACUGCACAAUGUCAGCCGAAUUUGGCUUGGCACACUGUGGAGGUUCUAAGGCAAUGUCAUCUAGUACAAUACUGUAAUAACGGCUCUUUACUUCUGUAUUGAUGACUACAUGUGGUCAAACUGAGAUGGAAGUAUGAUGACGCAGCUUGUAAACUGGUAGAUCAAGAUAUGUUUUGUAACAUUAUUUACAAAACACAAAAUUACUUCGCGAAAUGAACUGAUGGCACCGAACCACAGAUACGCUCAA